AUGACAGCAGCAAAUACAGCAGUUCACCAAUUUAAGAAGAUUCAUCCCACGGAUUCCUUCCGGGUGCAAGUCCGAUCCUGUUGGCUGGCCACGUCCGCCAAAAACUGGGCAAACGCCACGCGUGACGACCCGCCGUCGUUCCAAGCUGCCGCGGCGUCUUCCUUGUGCGCCUCGACCCGCACCCUGAGCUCUCUGCCCUCCUCAGACUCCAUGACAAGCCUUACCUUGCCCUCCACCUCGCCGGCCUUGACCAGCCCCUGCUGCCACCCGACAAUCUCUACGGCGACCCCCAUCGGCCAGCACAGCAUCGGCACGCCCGCCGUGACGCCCUCCAGCACUGAGUUCCAUCCGCAGUGCGUCACGAACGCCCCGGUGGCCUUGUGGCGGAGAACGUCCGCCUGCGGUGCCCACAGCUUGACGACGAGGCCACGGCCAUUGGUGCGCUCCAUGAACCCGUCCGGCAGUAGAGCGAAGCGGUGGCCGGACUUUUCAAGCCCCACGGCGAUCUCCCUGAGCUGCUCCUCGGAGUGGUUUCCUAUGCCGAUGCUCCCGAAGCAGAGGAACACGACGCUGCGGUCCGGUUGGCCGUCUAGCCAAGCGAGGCACUCGUGA
RNAcentral lists this ribosomal RNA (612 nucleotides) under Triticum aestivum (bread wheat). Its description in RNAcentral is "partial small subunit ribosomal RNA". The record is from RNAcentral. Lineage: Eukaryota; Viridiplantae; Streptophyta; Magnoliopsida; Poales; Poaceae.